RNAcentral lists this ribosomal RNA (337 nucleotides) under uncultured Pseudomonadota bacterium. RNAcentral's name for it is "bacterial SSU rRNA". It matches the Rfam family "Bacterial small subunit ribosomal RNA", at positions 29 to 351 of the family's 1533-position model. The record is from RNAcentral. Lineage: Bacteria; Pseudomonadati; Pseudomonadota.
AACGAACGCUGGCGGCGUGCCUAAGACAUGCAAGUCGUGCGAGAAAGGGACUUCGGUCCUGAGUAAAGCGGCGCACGGGUGAGUAACGCGUGGGUAACCUACCUCGAAGUUGGGAAUAACCCGGGGAAACCUGGGCUAAUGCCGGAUGAGCCCACGAGAUCUUUGAUCAUGUGGGAAAGGUGGCCUCUGCUUGCAAGCUACCGCUUCGAGACGGGCCCGCGUCCCAUUAGCUAGUUGGUGAGGUAACGGCUCACCAAGGCUCCGAUGGGUAGCUGGUCUGAGAGGACGAUCAGCCACACUGGAACUGAGACACGGUCCAGACUCCUACGGGAGGCUG